GAUGAACGCUAGCUACAGGCUUAACACAUGCAAGUCGAGGGGCAGCAUGAUUGAAGCUUGCUUCAAUCGAUGGCGACCGGCGCACGGGUGAGUAACACGUAUCCAACCUGCCGAUAACUCGGGGAUAGCCUUUCGAAAGAAAGAUUAAUACCCGAUAGUAUAGUAUUUCCGCAUGGUUUCACUAUUAAAGAACUUCGGUUAUCGAUGGGGAUGCGUUCCAUUAGAUAGUUGGCGGGGUAACGGCCCACCAAGUCAACGAUGGAUAGGGGUUCUGAGAGGAAGGUCCCCCACAUUGGAACUGAGACACGGUCCAAACUCCUACGGGAGGCAGCAGUGAGGAAUAGUGGUCAAUGGACGAGAGUCUGAACCAGCCAAGUAGCGUGAAGGAUGACUGCCCUAUGGGUGGUAAACUUCUUUUAGACGGGAAUAAAGUGGAGUAUGCAUACUCCUUUGUAUGUACCGUAUGAAUAAGGAUCGGCUAACUCCGUG
Molecule: ribosomal RNA, 489 nt
Filed under: uncultured bacterium
Lineage: Bacteria
Description: partial 16S ribosomal RNA
Rfam family: Bacterial small subunit ribosomal RNA
Source: RNAcentral